CCACGGGAGCAGAGCCACCUCUCUCUGGACUCCAGACCCACAGAAGUCAUCAGCACCAUGCAACACCAGCCUGGGAAAUCUGCAGGCACCAGCACGCAACCCCAAUGGGCUACACCCAGCAAAGCCCUGGAGAUGGGGCUGCCCAAGGUCUUGGAGCCCCUACCCUACCAGAGUGUGUCCAGUAAAAGGCUUACAACUGGAAGUACUUUGCCUUAAGUCCCAGAUGAAACUUUAGACUUUUGCUAUAGUGUUAGAAUGAGUUAAGACUUUUGGCAGUACUGAAGUGGGAAGAAAACACUUUUCAUCGUUGAAGUACUCAUAGCAGCCUAUAAUAGAGUGUGAUUUUCUAAUUAAAAUAAGAAUUUUAACAUCUCCUACAUUCGCAAAAGAGUACCUCCAAGAACAGAAACCUGUGUUUUAUCAAUCUUUCCACUGACAUUUUUAGGAGA
Callithrix jacchus (white-tufted-ear marmoset) is the source of this 449-nucleotide long non-coding RNA. RefSeq lists it as uncharacterized. Lineage: Eukaryota; Metazoa; Chordata; Mammalia; Primates; Cebidae. The record is from RefSeq and is a predicted model, not a curated record.